GAACGAGAAAGUGGGAGCAAUCCCAUGAGUAAAGUGGCGCACGGGUGAGUAACACGUGACUAACCUACCCUGGAGUGGGGGAUAACUGAGGGAAACCUUAGCUAAUACCGCAUAAUACCCACGGGUCAAAGGAGCAAUUCGCUCUAGGAGGGGGUCGCGGCCGAUUAGUUAGUUGGCAGGGUAACGGCCUACCAAGACGAUGAUCGGUAUCCGGCCUGAGAGGGCGCACGGACACACUGGAACUGAAACACGGUCCAGACUCCUACGGGAGGCAGCAGUGGGGAAUUUUGCGCAAUGGGGGAAACCCUGACGCAGCAACGCCGCGUGGAGGAUGAAGUCCUUCGGGACGUAAACUCCUUUCGAUCGGGACGAUUAUGACGGUACCGGAAGAAGAAGCCCCGGCUAACUUCGUGCCAGCAGCCGCGGUAAUACGAGGGGGGCGAGCGUUGUUCGGAAUUAUUGGGCGUAAAGGGUGCGUAGGCGGUUUGGUAAGUCUCAUGUGAAAUCUAUGGGCUCAACUCAUAGACUGCAUGAGAAACUGCCGGGCUUGAGUGUGGGAGAGGUGAGUGGAAUUCCCGGUGUAGCGGUGAAAUGCGUANAUAUCGGGAGGAACACCUGUGGCGAAAGCGGCUCACUGGACCACAACUGACGCUGAUGCACGAAAGCUAGGGGAGCAAACAGGAUUAGAUACCCUGGUAGUCCUAGCCCUAAACCAUGACUGCUUGGCGUGACGGGUACCCAAUCCCGCCGUGCCGAAGCUAACGCGAUAAGCAGUCCGCCUGGGGAGUACGGUCGCAAGGCUGAAACUCAA
RNAcentral lists this ribosomal RNA (811 nucleotides) under uncultured Pseudomonadota bacterium. RNAcentral describes it as "bacterial SSU rRNA". It matches the Rfam family "Bacterial small subunit ribosomal RNA", at positions 64 to 904 of the family's 1533-position model. Lineage: Bacteria; Pseudomonadati; Pseudomonadota. The record is from RNAcentral.